Molecule: ribosomal RNA, 253 nt
Filed under: uncultured bacterium
Lineage: Bacteria
Description: partial 16S ribosomal RNA
Rfam family: Bacterial small subunit ribosomal RNA
Source: RNAcentral
UACGUAGGGCGCAAGCGUUAAUCGGAAUUACUGGGCGUAAAGCGUGCGCAGGCGGUUAUGCAAGACAGAUGUGAAAUCCCCGGGCUCAACCUGGGAACUGCAUUUGUGACUGCAUGGCUAGAGUACGGUAGAGGGGGAUGGAAUUCCGCGUGUAGCAGUGAAAUGCGUAAAUAUGCGGAGGAACACCGAUGGCGAAGGCAAUCCCCUGGACCUGUACUGACGCUCAUGCACGAAAGCGUGGGGAGCAAACAGG